RNAcentral lists this ribosomal RNA (253 nucleotides) under uncultured bacterium. Its description in RNAcentral is "partial 16S ribosomal RNA". It matches the Rfam family "Bacterial small subunit ribosomal RNA", at positions 524 to 776 of the family's 1533-position model. The record is from RNAcentral.
UACGUAGGUGGCAAGCGUUAUCCGGAUUUACUGGGUGUAAAGGGAGCGUAGACGGCGAUGCAAGUCUGAAGUGAAAGCCCGGGGCUCAACCCCGGGACUGCUUUGGAAACUGUAUGGCUGGAGUGCUGGAGAGGCAAGCGGAAUUCCUAGUGUAGCGGUGAAAUGCGUAGACAUUAGGAAGAACACCAGAGGCGAAGGCGGCUUGCUGGACAGUAACUGACGUUGAGGCUCGAAAGCGUGGGGAGCAAACAGG